Molecule: ribosomal RNA, 460 nt
Filed under: uncultured bacterium
Lineage: Bacteria
Description: partial 16S ribosomal RNA
Rfam family: Bacterial small subunit ribosomal RNA
Source: RNAcentral
CCUACGGGUGGCUGCAGUGAGGAAUAUUGGUCAAUGGACGAGAGUCUGAACCAGCCAAGUAGCGUGAAGGAUGACUGCCCUAUGGGUUGUAAACUUCUUUUAUAAAGGAAUAAAACGAGGCACGUGUGCCUUUGUGCAUGUACUUUAUGAAUAAGGAUCGGCUAACUCCGUGCCAGCAGCCGCGGUAAUACGGAGGAUUCGGGCGUUAACCGGAUUUAAUGGGUUUAAAGGGAGCGUAGAUGGGUUGUUAAGUCAGUUGUGAAAGUUUGCGGCUCAACCGUAAAAUUGCAAUUGAUACUGGCAGUCUUGAGUACAGUAGAGGGAGGCAGAAUUCGUGGUGUAGCGGUGAAAUGCUUAGAUAUCACGAAGAACCCCGAUGGCGAAGGCAGCUUACUAAACUGUGACUGACAUUGAUGCUCGAAAGUGUGGGGAUCAAACAGGAUUAGAUACCCGAGUAGUC